GGGCUGUGUCCUGCCUGGUGGUGCUGGGGUUCCGCACCCUGGACAGCUUCCCCAGACAGUGUUUGGAAUUCAGGGAAGAAAGUACUGUGCGCCCCCAUUUAACCCUCGGGACCUGGCGAAAUCCUGCUUCGUGGGUAGUGAACAUUGUAUCGGGGACUGAAGGAAAUGCUUGUAAAGAGUGUUAGUCUGGAGCCAUACUUUCCCUGCCCUGUUCAAGCUCCCUGGGCUGUCAGAAGCGGAGUUGUUUGUAAAAGCAAAUGCAGACGCCUCCUCCUCCUGUCACUUCGGGACAAGUUAACAAUCUUCAGAUUCGUUGUUAAAGCAGCGUGUACCCUAUGUGAUCUAUCAGGUUCGGCUUUAGAGUGUGGUGAAGGGUACUUUUCAUGGUGCAUGGAAGGAAAGCCAAUGCGCAGGUGUACCAACAUUCGACCAGGAGAGACUGGAAUGGAUGUAACAAGCCGCUGCACCCUUGGAGACCCCAACAAACUGCCAGAAGGGGUUCCCCAACCUGCCCGCAUGCCCUAUAUCUCAGACAAGCACCCUCGACAAACCCUGGAAGUGAUUAACCUUCUGAGAAAGCACCGUGAGCUAUGUGAUGUGGUGCUAGUUGUGGGCGCCAAGAAGAUAUAUGCCCAUCGAGUCAUUUUGUCAGCCUGUAGUCCCUACUUCCGAGCUAUGUUUACAGGAGAAUUGGCAGAGAGCCGUCAGACAGAAGUAGUGAUCCGAGACAUCGACGAGAGGGCUAUGGAAUUACUGAUUGACUUUGCGUAUACCUCCCAGAUAACAGUAGAAGAGGGCAAUGUUCAGACUCUUCUGCCAGCUGCUUGCCUCCUCCAGCUGGCAGAAAUACAGGAAGCCUGCUGUGAAUUCUUAAAGAGACAAUUAGAUCCUUCUAACUGCCUGGGCAUUCGGGCUUUU
RNAcentral lists this small RNA (918 nucleotides) under Pongo abelii (Sumatran orangutan). RNAcentral's name for it is "processed transcript". The record is from RNAcentral. Lineage: Eukaryota; Metazoa; Chordata; Mammalia; Primates; Hominidae.